ACUGAAUAGAUACCCUGGUAGUCCGCACCGUAAACGAUGAUCACUUGGUGUUGGAGGUAUUGACCCCUUCAGUGCCGAAAGCUAACGCGUUAAGUGAUCCGCCUGGGAAGUACGGUCGCAAGAUUAAAACUCAAAGAAAUUGACGGGGGCCCGCACAAGCAGUGGAGCAUGUGGUUCAAUUCGAUGCAACGCGAAAAACCUUACCUGGGUUUGAAGUGCUAGUGAAUGUGGUAGAGAUAUCACAGGCCUUCGGUACGACUAGUAUCAGGUGCUGCAUGGCUGUCGUCAGCUCGUGUCGUGAGAUGUCGGG
RNAcentral lists this ribosomal RNA (310 nucleotides) under uncultured bacterium. Its description in RNAcentral is "bacterial SSU rRNA". It matches the Rfam family "Bacterial small subunit ribosomal RNA", at positions 772 to 1079 of the family's 1533-position model. The record is from RNAcentral.